AUGAACGCUGGCGGCGUGCCUAAUACAUGCCAGUCGAGCGAACGGACGAGAAGCUUGCUUUUCUGAUGUUAGCGGCGGACGGGUGAGUAACACGUGGAUAACCUACCUAUAAGACUGGGGUAACUUCGGGAAACCGGAGCUAAUACCGGAUAAUAUUUUGAACCGCAUGGUUCAAAAGUGAAAGACGGUCUUGCUGUCACUUAUAGAUGGAUCCGCGCUGCAUUAGCUAGUUGGUAAGGUAACGGCUUACCAAGGCAACGAUGCAUAGCCGACCCGAGAGGGUGAUCGGCCACACUGGAACUGAGACACGGUCCAGACUCCUACGGGAGGCAGCAGUAGGGAAUCUUCCGCAAUGGGCGAAAGCCUGACGGAGCAACGCCGCGUGAGUGAUGAAGGUCUUCGGAUCGUAAAACUCUGUUAUUAGGGAAGAACAUAUGUGUAAGUAACUGUGCACAUCUUGACGGUACCUAAUCAGAAAGCCACGGCUAACUACGUG
Molecule: ribosomal RNA, 496 nt
Filed under: uncultured bacterium
Lineage: Bacteria
Description: partial 16S ribosomal RNA
Rfam family: Bacterial small subunit ribosomal RNA
Source: RNAcentral